This is a small nuclear RNA of Cercocebus atys (sooty mangabey), 112 nucleotides long. Lineage: Eukaryota; Metazoa; Chordata; Mammalia; Primates; Cercopithecidae. The record is from Ensembl.
AUGCUCGCUUUGGCAGCACAUAUACUAAAAUUAGAACAAUACAGAGAUUAGCAUGGCCCCUGCACAAGGAUGACACCCAAAUUUGUGAAGCACUCCAUAGCAAAAAUUUUUU